This is a non-coding RNA of Pangasianodon gigas (Mekong giant catfish), 73 nucleotides long. NCBI's taxonomy places the organism in Eukaryota, Metazoa, Chordata, Actinopteri, Siluriformes, Pangasiidae. The record is from the annotation of a GenBank genome assembly.
GAAGUGGUGGCUCAGUGGUUAGGCUUUUGAGCUACAGCUUCAGAGGUCAUAAGUUCAACUCCUAGCAAUACCA